Molecule: long non-coding RNA, 319 nt
Filed under: Panax ginseng (ginseng)
Lineage: Eukaryota; Viridiplantae; Streptophyta; Magnoliopsida; Apiales; Araliaceae
Description: long non-coding RNA (PGIN_LNC016227)
Source: RNAcentral
CUGAUGGUCUUGGAGCUCGGCAAGAUUGUGCGUCAUGGUUCCUACAACAGCUGAAAUACCCUGCAUGUAACUAACUCCAUCGUCUAAUUAAUUGAUUAACAAGUUUAAUAUUCUUAUGCUUGUGUAGACAGACUUGUAGAUAAGAAUAUUGUUAGAACUUGUGGCUCCCGUGGACGUACCUGAAUUUGGAGAACCACGUAAAUUUCUGUGUUUACUGUCGUGUGUGAUUGAAUCCUAACAAAUACAAAUAAAAAUACAGGAGCUAUGUUAAGUAAGUAAUGUGUUUUUUAAUAAUUAAUUACCACUUGCUUGAUGACUU